CAGUGGGAGAAUCUAUUCAUACCAUCCCUUGUAAUUACUGUUUCUGUGCCGUAGGAGGAUAUAUUAACUGCCUGAACUAUGAUUGCAAUAUGCAGUACCCUUGGUGUGAUGACUACUAUUUUGAAAACCCAGACGACUGUUGUGUGAGAUGUCCAAUAGGCUACAACUGUACAGCCCCAGAUGGGGAGUUCGUGCAAUACAAAGAACUAUACUAUUUGAACAACGAAGAGGUGUGUCAUUGCCUGGGCAGGAAACCAAAUGAAACGGCUGUGUGUAAACCAGUCAAUCCUUCUACAAAACAUGCUCCAAUUAUUGGAUGACAACUAUAAUAUUUUUGAAUGAAAUUAAUUAUUAUAUUAAA
Molecule: long non-coding RNA, 361 nt
Organism: Magallana angulata
Lineage: Eukaryota; Metazoa; Mollusca; Bivalvia; Ostreida; Ostreidae
Exons: 2
Source: RefSeq, a predicted model, not a curated record